AGGUAAGCUACUAAGAGCGAAUGGUGGAUGCCUUGACUGGUAAAGGCGAUGAAGGACGUACUAGACUGCGAUAAGCUACGGGGAGCUGUCAAGAAGCUUUGAUCCGUAGAUUUCCGAAUGGGGCAACCCAAUGUAUAGAGAUAUACAUUACCUAUAUAGGAGCGAACGAGGGGAAUUGAAACAUCUUAGUACCCUCAGGAAAAGAAAUCAAUAGAGAUUGCGUCAGUAGCGGCGAGCGAAAGCGCAAGAGGGCAAACCCAGUGCUUGCACUGGGGGUUGUAGGACUGCAAUGUGCAAGAGGUAAGUUUAGCAGAACAUUCUGGAAAGUAUAACCAUAGAGGGUGAUAGUCCCGUAUGCGAAAAACAAACCUUAGCUAGCAGUAUCCUGAGUAGGGCGGGACACGAGGAAUCCUGUCUGAAUCCGGGUCGACCACGAUCCAACCCUAAAUACUAAUACCAGAUCGAUAGUGCACAAGUACCGUGAGGGAAAGGUGAAAAGAACUGAGGUGAUCAGAGUGAAAUAGAACCUGAAACCAUUUGCUUACAAUCAUUCAGAGCCCUAUGUAGCAAUACAGGGUGAUGGACUGCCUUUUGCAUAAUGAGCCUGCGAGUUGUGGUGUCUGGCAAGGUUAAGCAAACGCGAAGCCGUAGCGAAAGCGAGUCUGAAUAGGGCGCUUAGUCAGAUGCUGCAGACCCGAAACGAAGUGAUCUAUCCAUGAGCAAGUUGAAGCUAGUGUAAGAACUAGUGGAGGACUGAACCCAUAGGCGUUGAAAAGCCCCGGGAUGACUUGUGGAUAGGGGUGAAAGGCCAAUCAAACUUCGUGAUAGCUGGUUCUCUCCGAAAUAUAUUUAGGUAUAGCGUUGUGUCGUAAUAUAAGGGGGUAGAGCACUGAAUGGGCUAGGGCAUACACCAAUGUACCAAACCCUAUCAAACUCCGAAUACCUUAUAUGUAAUCACAGCAGUCAGGCGGCGAGUGAUAAAAUCCGUCGUCAAGAGGGAAACAACCCAGACUACCAGCUAAGGUCCCUAAAUCUUACUUAAGUGGAAAACGAUGUGAAGUUACUUAAACAACCAGGAGGUUGGCUUAGAAGCAGCCAUCCUUUAAAGAAAGCGUAAUAGCUCACUGGUCUAGUGAUUUUGCGCGGAAAAUAUAACGGGGCUAAAGUAAGUACCGAAGCUGUAGACUUAGUUUACUAAGUGGUAGGAGAGCGUUCUAUUUGCGUCGAAGGUAUACCGGUAAGGAGUGCUGGAGCGAAUAGAAGUGAGCAUGCAGGCAUGAGUAGCGAUAAUUAAUGUGAGAAUCAUUAACGCCGUAAACCCAAGGUUUCCUACGCGAUGCUCGUCAUCGUAGGGUUAGUCGGGUCCUAAGUCGAGUCCGAAAGGGGUAGACGAUGGCAAAUUGGUUAAUAUUCCAAUACCAACAUUAGUGUGCGAUGGAAGGACGCUUAGGGCUAAGGGGGCUAGCGGAUGGAAGUGCUAGUCUAAGGUCGUAGGAGGUUAUACAGGCAAAUCCGUAUAACAAUACUCCGAGAACUGAAAGGCUUUUUGAAGUCUUCGGAUGGAUAGAAGAACCCCUGAUGCCGUCGAGCCAAGAAAAGUUUCUAAGUUUAGCUAAUGUUGCCCGUACCGUAAACCGACACAGGUGGGUGGGAUGAGUAUUCUAAGGCGCGUGGAAGAACUCUCUUUAAGGAACUCUGCAAAAUAGCACCGUAUCUUCGGUAUAAGGUGUGGUUAGCUUUGUAUUAGGAUUUACUCCGAAAGCAAGGAAACUUACAACAAAGAGUCCCUCCCGACUGUUUACCAAAAACACAGCACUCUGCUAACUCGUAAGAGGAUGUAUAGGGUGUGACGCCUGCCCGGUGCUCGAAGGUUAAUUGAUGGGGUUAGCAUUAGCGAAGCUCUUGAUCGAAGCCCGAGUAAACGGCGGCCGUAACUAUAACGGUCCUAAGGUAGCGAAAUUCCUUGUCGGUUAAAUACCGACCUGCAUGAAUGGCGUAACGAGAUGGGAGCUGUCUCAAAGAGGGAUCCAGUGAAAUUGUAGUGGAGGUGAAAAUUCCUCCUACCCGCGGCAAGACGGAAAGACCCCGUGGACCU
Molecule: ribosomal RNA, 2095 nt
Filed under: Campylobacter jejuni
Lineage: Bacteria; Pseudomonadati; Campylobacterota; Epsilonproteobacteria; Campylobacterales; Campylobacteraceae
Description: partial 23S ribosomal RNA
Rfam family: Bacterial large subunit ribosomal RNA
Source: RNAcentral